CACGUAGGGGGCGAGCGUUGUCCGGAUUUAUUGGGCGUAAAGAGCUCGUAGGCGGCUCGGUAAGUCAGGUGUGAAAACUCUAGGCUCAACCUAGAGACGCCACCUGAUACUGCUGUGGCUAGAGUCCGGUAGGGGAGCAUGGAAUUCCUGGUGUAGCGGUGAAAUGCGCAGAUAUCUGGAGGAACACCGGUGGCGAAGGCGGCAUCCUGGACCGGUAUUGACGCUGAGGCGCGAAAGCCAGGGGAGCAAACAGG
This 254-nucleotide ribosomal RNA is filed under the name uncultured bacterium. Its description in RNAcentral is "partial 16S ribosomal RNA". It matches the Rfam family "Bacterial small subunit ribosomal RNA", at positions 524 to 776 of the family's 1533-position model. The record is from RNAcentral.